Molecule: ribosomal RNA, 1372 nt
Filed under: uncultured bacterium
Lineage: Bacteria
Description: bacterial SSU rRNA
Rfam family: Bacterial small subunit ribosomal RNA
Source: RNAcentral
GAUGAACGCUGGCGGCGUGCCUAAUACAUGCAAGUCGAGCGAACGGACGAGAAGCUUGCUUCUCUGAUGUUAGCGGCGGACGGGUGAGUAACACGUGGAUAACCUACCUAUAAGACUGGGAUAACUUCGGGAAACCGGAGCUAAUACCGGAUAAUAUUUUGAACCGCAUGGUUCAAAAGUGAAAGACGGUCUUGCUGUCACUUAUAGAUGGAUCCGCGCUGCAUUAGCUAGUUGGUAAGGUAACGGCUUACCAAGGCAACGAUGCAUAGCCGACCUGAGAGGGUGAUCGGCCACACUGGAACUGAGACACGGUCCAGACUCCUACGGGAGGCAGCAGUGGGGAAUCUUCCGCAAUGGGCGAAAGCCUGACGGAGCAACGCCGCGUGAGUGAUGAAGGUCUUCGGAUCGUAAAACUCUGUUAUUAGGGAAGAACAUAUGUGUAAGUAACUGUGCACAUCUUGACGGUACCUAAUCAGAAAGCCACGGCUAACUACGUGCCAGCAGCCGCGGUAAUACGUAGGUGGCAAGCGUUAUCCGGAAUUAUUGGGCGUAAAGCGCGCGUAGGCGGUUUUUUAAGUCUGAUGUGAAAGCCCACGGCUCGACCGUGGAGGGUCAUUGGAAACUGGAAAACUUGAGUGCAGAAGAGGAAAGUGGAAUUCCAUGUGUAGCGGUGAAAUGCGCAGAGAUAUGGAGGAACACCAGUGGCGAAGGCGACUUUCUGGUCUGUAACUGACGCUGAUGUGCGAAAGCGUGGGGAUCAAACAGGAUUAGAUACCCUGGUAGUCCACGCCGUAAACGAUGAGUGCUAAGUGUUAGGGGGUUUCCGCCCCUUAGUGCUGCAGCUAACGCAUUAAGCACUCCGCCUGGGGAGUACGACCGCAAGGUUGAAACUCAAAGGAAUUGACGGGGACCCGCACAAGCGGUGGAGCAUGUGGUUUAAUUCGAAGCAACGCGAAGAACCUUACCAAAUCUUGACAUCCUUUGACAACUCUAGAGAUAGAGCUUUCCCCUUCGGGGGACAAAGUGAUAGGUGGUGCAUGGUUGUCGUCAGCUCGUGUCGUGAGAUGUUGGGUUAAGUCCCGCAACGAGCGCAACCCUUAAGCUUAGUUGCCAUCAUUAAGUUGGGCACUCUAAGUUGACUGCCGGUGACAAACCGGAGGAAGGUGGGGAUGACGUCAAAUCAUCAUGCCCCUUAUGAUUUGGGCUACACACGUGCUACAAUGGACAAUACAAAGGGCAGCGAAACCGUGAGGUCAAGCAAAUCCCAUAAAGUUGUUCUCAGUUCGGAUUGUAGUCUGCAACUCGACUACAUGAAGCUGGAAUCGCUAGUAAUCGUAGAUCAGCAUGCUACGGUGAAUACGUUCCCGGGUCU